CUGGCUCAGAACGAACGCUGGCGGCGUGCUUAACACAUGCAAGUCGAACGCGAAAGGGGACUUCGGUCCUGAGUAAAGUGGCGGCACGGGUGAGUAACGCGUAGAUAACCUGUCUUCAUGUCUGGAAUAAUACGCCGAAAGGGGUACUAAUACCGGAUAUUCUUUGCUUUUCAUAAGUUAUGCAAGCAAAGGUGGCCUCUGCAUAUGCUACUGCAUGAAGAGGGGUCUGCGUACCAUUAGCUAGUAGGUGGGGUAAUGGCCUACCUAGGCGACGAUGGUUAGCGGGUCUGAGAGGAUGAUCCGCCACACUGGCACUGGAACACGGGCCAGACUCCUACGGGAGGCAGCAGUGAGGAAUAUUGCGCAAUGGGGGAAACCCUGACGCAGCGACGCCGCGUGAAGUGAGGAAGGCCUUCGGGUCGUAAAGCUCUGUCAAGAGGAAAGAAGUGUACAAUGGCUAAUACCUGUUGUAUUUGACGGUACCUCUAAAGGAAGCACCGGCUAACUCCGUGCCAGCCGCUGC
This 523-nucleotide ribosomal RNA is filed under the name uncultured bacterium. Its description in RNAcentral is "bacterial SSU rRNA". It matches the Rfam family "Bacterial small subunit ribosomal RNA", at positions 19 to 518 of the family's 1533-position model. The record is from RNAcentral.